GGUUUAUGAUUAAAGCUCCGGCGGUAAAAGAUGAGCAUGCGUUCUAUUAGCUAGUAGGUGAGGUAACGGCUCACCUAGGCUACGAUAGAUAGGGGCCCCUGAGAGGGGGAUCCCCCACACUGGUACUGAGACACGGACCAGACUCCUACGGGAGGCAGCAGUGAGGAAUAUUGGACAAUGGAGGAAACUCUGAUCCAGCCAUGCCGCGUGCAGGAUGACUGCCCUAUGGGUUGUAAACUGCUUUUAUAUAGGAAGAAACACUCCCACGUGUGGGGGCUUGACGGUACUAUAUGAAUAAGGAUCGGCUAACUCCGUG
This 316-nucleotide ribosomal RNA is filed under the name uncultured bacterium. Its description in RNAcentral is "bacterial SSU rRNA". It matches the Rfam family "Bacterial small subunit ribosomal RNA", at positions 192 to 507 of the family's 1533-position model. The record is from RNAcentral.